This 318-nucleotide ribosomal RNA is filed under the name Polyschismium alpestroides. RNAcentral describes it as "bacterial SSU rRNA". It matches the Rfam family "Eukaryotic small subunit ribosomal RNA", at positions 80 to 350 of the family's 1831-position model. Lineage: Eukaryota; Evosea; Eumycetozoa; Physariida; Didymiaceae. The record is from RNAcentral.
UCUGAAUCUGCGUACGGCUCCGCCAACCAGUUGUAAACUAUAGCAAGCAAUCCUGUGGCUGGGUUUCGGCCUGGUCAUGGGUAAAAUGGAUAACCAUGGUAAUUCUGAGGCUAAUACAAGAACGUACUCCCUGGCUGCCCGGCAACGGAAGGCUGGGGAGCGUGCAACGUAUCGUAAGACAAACCGGGAAUGGGUGCACGCUCGGCCCGCGCAAAAAACAGAUCUUGGCGAGCCUUCGGGUGAGCCUUGGCCUGAGCGGCUCUUGCUGUGUGCUUCUGACCUAUCAACUAGAUGGCAGCGUAACGGACAUGCUAUGGU